Molecule: transfer RNA, 65 nt
Filed under: Eristalinus aeneus
Lineage: Eukaryota; Metazoa; Arthropoda; Insecta; Diptera; Syrphidae
Description: tRNA-Cys
Source: RNAcentral
AGUCUUAUAGUCAAUAAUGAUAUUAGAUUGCAAUUCUAGAGGAAUAAUGAAAGUUAUUAAGACUU